RNAcentral lists this ribosomal RNA (253 nucleotides) under uncultured bacterium. RNAcentral's name for it is "partial 16S ribosomal RNA". It matches the Rfam family "Bacterial small subunit ribosomal RNA", at positions 524 to 776 of the family's 1533-position model. The record is from RNAcentral.
UACGGGGGGAGCAAGCGUUGUUCGGAUUUACUGGGCGUAAAGGGCGCGUAGGCGGCGCAACAAGUCACUUGUGAAAUCUCCGGGCUUAACCCGGAGCGGUCAAGUGAUACUGUCGUGCUAGAGUGCAGAAGGGGCAACUGGAAUUCUCGGUGUAGCGGUGAAAUGCGUAGAUAUCAGUCGGAACACCGGUGGCGAAGGCGGGUCUCUGGGCCGAUACUGACGCUGAGGAGCGAAAGCGUGGGGAGCGAACAGG